Lytechinus pictus (painted urchin) is the source of this 395-nucleotide long non-coding RNA. RefSeq lists it as uncharacterized. Lineage: Eukaryota; Metazoa; Echinodermata; Echinoidea; Temnopleuroida; Toxopneustidae. The transcript has 4 exons. The record is from RefSeq and is a predicted model, not a curated record.
UUUCUCCGAGACUAAACUGAAAUGUUGAUUUCAGAUCAUUCAUUGCUUUUUCAUAUUUUCCUAUUUCAGAUUCAGAUACUAUAUUCGAUUCGAGCAUUCAUUAUAAGUUGAAAUGGCCACCAGACAUCGAGACCGCCCGUCAAGGGAGUACACAAUUAUAAGUAUCAGAUGUUUUGAUGACAACAAAAAUGGAAAAAGGUGUUCCAGAAGAACCAAUCAUUUGAGUACAUUUUGCUGGCAGCAUAUUCGCAAAUUCACAGACGGAGAGAUCCGAUGUCUCGUACGGCAAAGGAAUAACCCGGCCGCCCAACGUCGGGUAAAAAUGAUGUGUUCAGCCAGGACUAGAAAGGGCACAAGAUGCUCAAGACGGGCAGUCGAAGGAGAUAUGUGCAAAC